UGGGCACUUCUAAAAUAUAUA
RNAcentral lists this microRNA (21 nucleotides) under Drosophila virilis. Its description in RNAcentral is "dvi-miR-9719-5p". The record is from miRBase by way of RNAcentral. Lineage: Eukaryota; Metazoa; Arthropoda; Insecta; Diptera; Drosophilidae.